RNAcentral lists this ribosomal RNA (253 nucleotides) under uncultured bacterium. RNAcentral's name for it is "partial 16S ribosomal RNA". It matches the Rfam family "Bacterial small subunit ribosomal RNA", at positions 524 to 776 of the family's 1533-position model. The record is from RNAcentral.
UACGUAGGGUGCGAGCGUUGUCCGGAAUUAUUGGGCGUAAAGGGCUCGUAGGUGGCCAACUAAGUCAGACGUGAAAUCCCUCAGCUUAACUGGGGAACUGCGUCUGAUACUGGAUGGCUUGAGUUUGGGAGAGGGAUGCGGAAUUCCAGGUGUAGCGGUGAAAUGCGCAGAUAUCGGGAGGAACACCAAUGGCGAAGGCAGCUCGCUGGGACGUGACUGACGCUGAGACGCGAAAGCGUGGGGAGCAAACAGG